AGUGAACGCUGGCGGUAGGCCUAACACAUGCAAGUCGAACGGCAGCACAGUAAGAGCUUGCUCUUACGGGUGGCGAGUGGCGGACGGGUGAGGAAUACAUCGGAAUCUACUUUUUCUUGGGGGAUAACGUAGGGAAACUUACGCUAAUACCGCAUACGACCUACGGGUGAAAGCAGGGGAUCUUCGGACCUUUCGCGAUUGAAUGAGCCGAUGUCGGAUUAGCUAGUUGGCGGGGUAAAGGCCCACCAAGGCGACGAUCCGUAGCUGGUCUGAGGGGAGGAUCAGCCACACUGGAACUGAGACACGGUCCAGACUCCUACGGGAGGCAGCAGUGGGGAAUAUUGGACAAUGGGCGCAAGCCUGAUCCAGCCAUACCGCGUGGGUGAAGAAGGCCUUCGGGUUGUAAAGCCCUUUUGUUGGGAAAGAAAAGCAGCAGGUUAAUACCCCGCUGUUCUGACGGUACCCAAAGAAUAAGCACCGGCUAACUUCGUG
Molecule: ribosomal RNA, 492 nt
Filed under: uncultured bacterium
Lineage: Bacteria
Description: partial 16S ribosomal RNA
Rfam family: Bacterial small subunit ribosomal RNA
Source: RNAcentral